This 108-nucleotide ribosomal RNA is filed under the name Bacteroides caecicola. RNAcentral describes it as "partial 16S ribosomal RNA". It matches the Rfam family "Bacterial small subunit ribosomal RNA", at positions 1424 to 1533 of the family's 1533-position model. Lineage: Bacteria; Pseudomonadati; Bacteroidota; Bacteroidia; Bacteroidales; Bacteroidaceae. The record is from RNAcentral.
AAGUGCGUAACCGCAAGGGGCGCCCUAGGGUAAAGCCGGUGAUUGGGGCUAAGUCGUAACAAGGUAGCCGUACCGGAAGGUGCGGCUGGAACACCUCCUUUCUGGAGC